This 73-nucleotide transfer RNA is filed under the name Ictidomys tridecemlineatus (thirteen-lined ground squirrel). Its description in RNAcentral is "Spermophilus tridecemlineatus (thirteen-lined ground squirrel) tRNA". It matches the Rfam family "tRNA". Rfam says of the family: Transfer RNA (tRNA) molecules are approximately 80 nucleotides in length. Their secondary structure includes four short double-helical elements and three loops (D, anti-codon, and T loops). Lineage: Eukaryota; Metazoa; Chordata; Mammalia; Rodentia; Sciuridae. The record is from Rfam by way of RNAcentral.
GGAGGUAUAUCUCAGAUGGUAAAGUGCUUGUCUUGUAUGCAUAAAGCCCUGGGUUCAAUCCCCAGCACCACCA